CCUGCAGGAUGUUUCCUCAAUGAGGGGAAGGCUGCUGCACAAUGGCAGUUUUUGAUACUCCUGAGGAGGCCUUUGGUGUCUUACGUCCAGUCUGUGUUCAGCUCACAAAGACCCAGACAGUGGAGAAUGUGGAGCAUCUGCAGACACGACUACAAGCUCGGCUUUCCAAAGCACUCAUCCAAGUUCUAGAGCUAGACGUGGCUGACAUCAAGAUUGUUGAGGAACGGCGUUGGAACUCUGAUGAUCUGAAUGCUUCUCCAAAGACCUCAGCCACACAGCCUUGGAACCGCAUCCAGAGGAGAUAUUUCCGCUUCUUCACUGAUGAGAGAAUCUUCAUGCUCUUGAGGGGCUGCUGGGCUGGAGGUUGAGGAUCUUCACGAAAAACAUAUUAAAACAAACCCAGAAGAACUGAGAGAGAUUGUGACAUCUAUACUUGAAGAAUACACAAGUCAAGAAAAUUGGUAUUUGGUUACCUGUCUUGAAACUGAGGAAAUGGGAGAGGAGCUGAUGAUGGAGCACCCAGGCCUCCAAGCCAUCACGUCUGGUGAACACACCUGCCAAGUUACAUCUUUUCUAGCCUUCUCAAAGCCAAGUCCCACUAUUUGCUCCAUGAACAGUAACAUCUGGCAAAUAUGCAUUCAGUUGGAAGGAAUUGGCCAGUUUGCAUAUGCACUAGGAAAAGACUUCUGUUUGCUCUUGAUGUCAGCCCUUUAUCCAGUACUGGAGAAGGCUGGAGACCAAACCCUACUCAUUAGUCAGGU
This 761-nucleotide long non-coding RNA is filed under the name Homo sapiens (human). Its description in RNAcentral is "non-protein coding lnc-TGM2-3:1". The record is from RNAcentral. Lineage: Eukaryota; Metazoa; Chordata; Mammalia; Primates; Hominidae.